RNAcentral lists this long non-coding RNA (608 nucleotides) under Musa acuminata (dwarf banana). RNAcentral's name for it is "long non-coding RNA (MACU_LNC004026)". Lineage: Eukaryota; Viridiplantae; Streptophyta; Magnoliopsida; Zingiberales; Musaceae. The record is from RNAcentral.
GCUGGAAGAGAAGGAGAGGAAACAGAGCAGGGGAGGAAGAAGAGGUUGCGGGUGUGGUGGCUGCGGCCGUGGCUGCGACUGUGGCUGCGGCUGCGACGUUGGCUACGGUAGCUGCGGCAGCGGUGGUGGCUGCAGUAGCAGCUUUUGGGAAAGAGAAAGAAAGGAAAGGGAAAAAAAAAAGGGGGUUGUGGCCGUGAUUGCGACUGCGGUGGUGGCGGCUGCGUCUGCGGCAACUGUGUUUGGGAAAGAAAAAGUAGGAACGAGAGAAGGGAGGAAGGAAGAUAGUGCGGUGGAAGGGGCUGCAACUGUGGCAGCGAUAGUGGCGGUGGCUGUGGCAACUGUGUUUGGGAAGGAAACAGAAGGAAUGAGAGUAAGAGAGAGCAGGUGACUGUGCCUCGAUAUUCGGCACAUGGUGUAGUUGCGAAGAAAGAAAGAAAACGAGUGUACAAAACGAAACAGGGAGGGGACGAAGGAAAAGUAGAAAAAGGAUUCGAGCGUACACCUUCUUCGAAUCUUUGGACCAAAACCUUCAAAAGGCAAGUUUCCCGAUCGUUUCUCCUGUAAUUGUUCUAAUUUUUCUUAUUGCAAGUAUUAUGAUCUUCCUCGUG